Molecule: ribosomal RNA, 500 nt
Filed under: Fusarium sp. XAE_019
Lineage: Eukaryota; Fungi; Ascomycota; Sordariomycetes; Hypocreales; Nectriaceae
Description: eukaryotic LSU rRNA
Rfam family: 5.8S ribosomal RNA (bases 134-287)
Source: RNAcentral
CCAACCCUGGUGAACUUCCGAAUUGUUGCCUCGGCGGAUCAGCCCGCUCCCGGUAAAACGGGACGGCCCGCCAGAGGAACCCUAAACUCUGUUUCUCUAUUGUAACUUCUGAGUAAAACCAUAAAUAAAUCAAAACUUUCAACAACGGAUCUCUUGGUUCUGGCAUCGAUGAAGAACGCAGCAAAAUGCGAUAAGUAAUGUGAAUUGCAGAAUUCAGUGAAUCAUCGAAUCUUUGAACGCACAUUGCGCCCGCCAGUAUUCUGGCGGGCAUGCCUGUUCGAGCGUCAUUUCAACCCUCAAGCCCCCGGGUUUGGUGUUGGGGAUCGGCGAGCCCUUGCGGCAAGCCGGCCCCGAAAUCUAGUGGCGGUCUCGCUGCAGCUUCCAUUGCGUAGUAGUAAAACCCUCGCAACUGGUACGCGGCGCGGCCAAGCCGUUAAACCCCCAACUUCUGAAUGUUGACCUCGGAUCAGGUAGGAAUACCCGCUGAACUUAAGCAUAUC